Salvia splendens (bonfire salvia) is the source of this 3349-nucleotide long non-coding RNA. RefSeq lists it as uncharacterized. Lineage: Eukaryota; Viridiplantae; Streptophyta; Magnoliopsida; Lamiales; Lamiaceae. The transcript is spliced from 6 exons. The record is from RefSeq and is a predicted model, not a curated record.
CCCUCAUUAGCUUCUCAUAUUUUUCCCCAAAUUUCAAAAUGAGGAACCCUAGACCCUUCUCUCCUUCCUCCUUCUCGGCGAAGACACUGACAUCACGACAAUUAACCGGCCUGCGGUCUGUCGCCGGCGUCACCUUUGCGCAGCCGUCGGAAUCAGAGGAGGAUGCGUCUCCUCCGUGUCUCUCCCUCGCGACUGUUCCGUCAUCUUUCCAAGGUGAGCGACGAGGCUCCGGAAAACUCACUCACGUUCAGUGCCUUACGGAGACCUCUCCCUUCCGCCGUCGUUGCUGUCACGCGGUGGAUUAUCCAGGCAGCAGUUCUCGGCUCAUCCGACCGCCGUUGGUUCGUGGGCAGUCAGGCUGGGACGGCGUGGUCAGCUGUCGCUGCUGCGUGUCGGAAAUCGCCUGCGGUCUCGGCUCUCAACCGCACCUGAUGCACCGCCGUCGGGUCGCCGCUGGUUCACCGUCGGCGCCGCCAUUCUCUGACGGAAUAUCCCUAAAGCUAAGUCUUCUACCUUAGCUUAUAUCUGAUUAAGUUUCUCGGCAAUAGUUACUUAAAUUUUGAGAGUUAAGUCCGUGAUAACUGUGAUUGGAGCAUUCUCCUUUGGACUUGCUGAUAGAUUGGAUUUCUAAUUGGAGGAAUUGAUUUGAGUAGAAAAUCCCAGAACUUAGUUAUGCCUUCUAUGCGCAUGACACUAUUUUUUUGUGUUCUGGCCUGGUGUGCUCGUGAGAUGUUUGAGCCUAAGGCUCCUUGCUGUGUUCUGAUCUCCUAACUGAAAGUUGUGCCUAUUCCUUGUAUUUUCUUGCUGCACACUUUAACUGCAUUUGUGUACCCCUCUCGCAGGUACUAGUUGGAGUGCAGGUGGCUACUGGUUUGACUGGUAUGAGCUGUGGAGUGCAGGGAUAAUGCAGCCUCACACCUUCUUGUUUAGUGAGGCCGAACGGCAAAACCAGGAACUGGUAAUGGCUGGAGUAGGUACGAAAAGCCGUUUUAGGUACAUCGUCGGCUGCCACCCGAAUCUGGUGGUAUCCAGCUUUUAAGUCGAUUUUGCUGAACCACCUGGCCCCAUGAACGUCGUCGCACUACGCGUAAUCUCGGGACAAGAAAGCACCUGUUUGCAAGAGUUUAAGCAAUCGAGGUUGAUCGACGUCGAAGCCGAGGAGGUGUUGGGACAGAAGGCUAAAUAAGUAAGAAGAUAGCUGGUAUAGUAUGUCUUCAUACAUAUUACAUCUGUCUUGGUACUCUUCCGUUGCGCAAAUUUAGAACUUGUUCUAGUAAAGACAAUUGUUUCAUAACUACUCUGAUUCAUUAUAAUUUGUACCCUCAACACAUUUCAGACAAAGUUUCCUUUAAAUUAAGCAUCUUAUGAUGAGUUGAGACAGUUUCAGUAAGACUUAGUCGCGAUAUAGCUACACUUUCUUUGACUAGGGAGAUGUGGUCGUGACUCGUGACAUACACCAAAUGGAAAUAGAAUCGAUAGUUUCCCACGUUGAUCUAAGCAUCCAACUUUGGCAAUUGAACUAAAAAUUGCUGGAUGAAAACAAAGGAGAUGUUCCAAAGCAAGUUAUGAGGUGUGUUAUAAUGCUAACUUUUUUUAAUUGCUAACUUGUUAACUCAUCUGCGCAGUAUCUCCAAAUCUUUAACACAAAUUUAGUUGACACAUGUCUUUGUGUUGACUUUUAAAAAUAGAUGUCAACCCAAAGACAUAAGUGACAUGCUAAUGUCAUCGUGUCAACAUUGAUGAGUUAUUAAUUUAAGAAAAGUUAGUAAUCGAUCAACCCUCAGCUAGUUAGUGUGUAAAUAAAUAAAAGUUGUAACGCCCCACUUUUUGAACCCUAAUUUUCGAACCCUAAAUUUUUUUUUUGCAUUUAAUGUCGUGAGGUCCGUAGAUUAAAUGACGAGUGAAAUGAUUAUUUAAUAUUCUUGUGAACCUAAACCCUAAUCCCUUUUCAAAUCUCCUCUCCAAUCUGCAGUGAAUAAUUCUUACCAAAUUCAAAAUCAGUUCUAGGAAACAAUUAACUCCCAAAUUUAUUUUGAAAUCAAAUAUACACAAUAAUAAUAUUCAAGCGUUAUUCUUCUACUUCUCCAAAUCUGCAAAAAUCAAAUUCCCAAAAAUUAGUGUAGCCAACCUUUUCCCAAACGACAGUUUUAUUCUCAUCAAUUUUCCAAUUUACUACCCUAAUCGCACGCCUAUUUCAAUCUCUCCAACCUUAAACUGUACUAAUCCUACCGCCUCCUCCAUAAUACUCCAUUCACAACUAAAGUUUCAUCCCACACUUUUUACUCCCUUGAAGUUCUGCAAGAACAAGGCAACUCUCACUCAAUUGAGUGCAAGGUAAAUCACUUCCUCUGCUUCACCAUUCCUCUCGAUUACCGUUGAUUUGGACUAUGCAACUUUGCUAAACUUGUCCACUGCUGUCUUCUACUUAAUUAAUUUAAUAAAUUUGUCCCCUCUCACAUUUAUACGUAUAUACUCCCACACGCUAGGGGUGAGCAAAAAAACCGGAAACCGAAUAUCCGAACCGAACCAAACCGAAAAUUUGAAAUUCGGUUCGGUUUUUUCGAUUUUUCGGUUCGGUUCGGUUUUAAAAUUUUGAAAAUUUUGGUUUUUCGGUUCGGUUCGGUUUUGAUGAAAAAAAAAAACGAAAAAUCGAAAAUCCGAAUUAUAUUUAACACAUAUAUAUAUUAUAUAAAUAGUACUAGACUCUAACCCUAAUUCACUCCUUCCGCCGCCUCUCCAAAUCCAGAUUCUGAAUCUCUUCUCCUCUCCGUCGCAAUCUCUUCUCCUCCCCUCUCCCCUCCUCUCCGUCGCCAUCUCUUCUCCUCUCUGUUUCCCAUCUCUUCUCCUCCCCGUCGCCUCCGCCCUCCAGCCGUGCUCCAGAUUCUUGCCCGUCUGCUCCUCUCCACGUUGGCGCCCCUCCACCCGACGACUCGUCGCCUUCCAGCGUCCAGCAGCCGCCUCCUCCCUCAGCCAGCCACGCCGCUCAAGAAGUAGGUUGAAUUGAGUGACUAGUCUAAGCAACUGCACGGCGCCGCCUCCGCCUGGUUCCACCCUAGCCUCCGCCUCUUCUCGAGGGUAGCGUCAGCCCUCUCAAGUCUGUGCCUUGACGUUGAAUAAUGAAAGAGAAACCAUUGGAGAUAGCAUUGCUUUAACUAAAGUUACUCCCCAUGAGGAUGAUAAAGGCCAUGAAAAAAAGAGAAGUUCUUCCCUUAAUACUUGGAAGUUUGAUCAAGAAAAGGCUAAGAAGGCUUUAGCUUUUAUGCUAAUUGUUGAUGAGUUGCCUAGAUAUGUAAAGUUUAUUGGUUGAUGUAUGUUAAUCAUGUUAUUAUAGUUUUGUGAUUUUUUUAAA